UACGAAGGGGGCUAGCGUUGCUCGGAAUCACUGGGCGUAAAGCGCACGUAGGCGGCUUUUUAAGUCGGUGGUGAAAUCCUGUAGCUCAACUCCAGAACUGCCUCCGAUACUGAAAGGCUCGAGUCCGGGAGAGGUGAGUGGAACUGCGAGUGUAGAGGUGAAAUUCGUAGAUAUUCGCAAGAACACCAGUGGCGAAGGCGGCUCACUGGCCCGGUACUGACGCUGAGGUGCGAAAGCGUGGGGAGCAAACAGG
RNAcentral lists this ribosomal RNA (253 nucleotides) under uncultured bacterium. Its description in RNAcentral is "partial 16S ribosomal RNA". It matches the Rfam family "Bacterial small subunit ribosomal RNA", at positions 524 to 776 of the family's 1533-position model. The record is from RNAcentral.